GGCCAGUGAUGGAUAAAAAUUUCCCAUACCAUAUGAGUUAUUUCUUUGAUGUGAUUUCUAUUAUUUUGCUUCUAAGCUC
Molecule: small nucleolar RNA, 79 nt
Organism: Telopea speciosissima
Lineage: Eukaryota; Viridiplantae; Streptophyta; Magnoliopsida; Proteales; Proteaceae
Product: small nucleolar RNA snoR117
Exons: 1
Source: RefSeq, a predicted model, not a curated record